Molecule: non-coding RNA, 46 nt
Organism: Loxodonta africana (African savanna elephant)
Lineage: Eukaryota; Metazoa; Chordata; Mammalia; Proboscidea; Elephantidae
Source: Rfam
AAAAAGGCCCUUUUCAGGGCCCCCAUCAUCUCACCUAAGGAGCGGU